AUUGAACGCUGGCGGCACGCCUUACACAUGCAAGUCGAACGGCAGCACGGGUGCUUGCACCUGGUGGCGAGUGGCGAACGGGUGAGUAAUACAUCGGAACAUGUCCUGUAGUGGGGGAUAGCCCGGCGAAAGCCGGAUUAAUACCGCAUACGAUCUACGGCUGAAAGCGGGGGACCUUCGGGCCUCGCGCUAUAGGGUUGGCCGAUGGCUGAUUAGCUAGUUGGUGGGGUAAAGGCCUACCAAGGCGACGAUCAGUAGCUGGUCUGAGAGGACGACCAGCCACACUGGGACUGAGACACGGCCCAGACUCCUACGGGAGGCAGCAGUGGGGAAUUUUGGACAAUGGGCGAAAGCCUGAUCCAGCAAUGCCGCGUGUGCGAAGAAGGCCUUCGGGUUGUAAAGCACCUUUGUCCGGAAAGAAAUCCUUGGCCCUAAUACGGUCGGGGGAUGACGGUACCGGAAGAAUAAGCACCGGCUAACUACGUG
RNAcentral lists this ribosomal RNA (486 nucleotides) under uncultured bacterium. RNAcentral's name for it is "partial 16S ribosomal RNA". It matches the Rfam family "Bacterial small subunit ribosomal RNA", at positions 30 to 507 of the family's 1533-position model. The record is from RNAcentral.